GACGAACGCUGGCGGCGUGGUUAACUCAUGCAAGUCGAACGAUGAAGCCGGAGCUUGCUCUGGUGAAUUAGUGGCGAACGGGUGAGUAACACGUGAGUAACCUGCCCUUGACUCUGGGAUAACUGCGGGAAACUGUAGCUAAUACCGGAUACGACCCUCGGAGGCAUCUCCUGGGGGUGGAAAGAAUUUCGGUCAAGGAUGGACUCGCGGCCUAUCAGCUAGUUGGUGAGGUAAAGGCUCACCAAGGCGACGACGGGUAGCCGGCCUGAGAGGGUGACCGGCCACACUGGGACUGAGACACGGCCCAGACUCCUACGGGAGGCAGCAGUGGGGAAUAUUGCACAAUGGGCGCAAGCCUGAUGCAGCAACGCCGCGUGAGGGAUGACGGCCUUCGGGUUGUAAACCUCUUUUAGCAGGGAAGAAGCGAAAGUGACGGUACCUGCAGAAAAAGCACCGGCUAACUACGUGCCAGCCGCCGCGGUAA
Molecule: ribosomal RNA, 484 nt
Filed under: uncultured bacterium
Lineage: Bacteria
Description: partial 16S ribosomal RNA
Rfam family: Bacterial small subunit ribosomal RNA
Source: RNAcentral